GAUGAACGCUGGCGGCGUGCCUAAUACAUGCAAGUCGAGCGAACAGACGAGGAGCUUGCUCCUCUGACGUUAGCGGCGGACGGGUGAGUAACACGUGGAUAACCUACCUAUAAGACUGGGAUAACUUCGGGAAACCGGAGCUAAUACCGGAUAAUAUAUUGAACCGCAUGGUUCAAUAGUGAAAGACGGUUUUGCUGUCACUUAUAGAUGGAUCCGCGCCGCAUUAGCUAGUUGGUAAGGUAACGGCUUACAAAGGCAACGAUGCGUAGCCGACCUGAGAGGGUGAUCGGCCACACUGGAACUGGGACACGGUCCAGACUCCUACGGGAGGCAGCAGUAGGGAAUCUUCCGCAAUGGGCGAAAGCCUGACGGAGCAACGCCGCGUGAGUGAUGAAGGUCUUCGGAUCGUAAAACUCUGUUAUUAGGGAAGAACAAAUGUGUAAGUAACUAUGCACGUCUUGACGGUACCUAAUCAGAAAGCCACGGCUAACUACGUG
RNAcentral lists this ribosomal RNA (497 nucleotides) under uncultured bacterium. RNAcentral's name for it is "partial 16S ribosomal RNA". It matches the Rfam family "Bacterial small subunit ribosomal RNA", at positions 28 to 507 of the family's 1533-position model. The record is from RNAcentral.